Molecule: long non-coding RNA, 686 nt
Filed under: Homo sapiens (human)
Lineage: Eukaryota; Metazoa; Chordata; Mammalia; Primates; Hominidae
Description: HSALNT0329575
Source: RNAcentral
UUGGAAAGCUGUGUCCUGGCUUCAUGAAUCUCCAGCAGUUGGUGCCCUUUGCUACCCAUCUUUAAUCAUCCCUUUCAGUCCCUUGCCUUCUCAGAGUCUUGCUAUGUUGCCUGGGCUUGUCUGGAACUGCUGGGCUGAAGUGAUCCCCUGCCUCAGCCUUCCGAGUUGCUGAGAUGACAGGCAGCUGUCAAUGUGCCUGGCUCAAAGUGCUGUUUAUUUUUAUUUUUAUUUUUAUUUUUUAUACUUUAAGUUCUAGGGUACAUGUGCACAACGUGCAGGUUUGUUACAUAGGUAUACAUGUGUCAUGUUGGUUUGCUGCACUCAUUAACUCGUCAUUUACAUUAGGUAUUUCUCCUAAUGCUAUCCCUCCCCCUGUCCCCCACCCUCUGACAGGCCCCGGUAUGUGAUGUUCCCCACCCUGUGUCCAAGUGUUCUCAUUGUUCAGUUUCCACCUGUGAGUGAGGACAUGUGGUAUUUGGUUUUCCGUCCUUGUGAUAGUUUGCUCAGAAUGAUGGUUUCCAGCUUCAUCCAUGUCCCUGCAAAGGACGUGAACGUAUCCUUUUUUAUGGCUGCAUAGUAUUCCAUGGUGUAUAUAUGCCACAUUUUCUUAAUCCAGUCUAUCCUUGUUGGACAUUUGGGUUGGUUCCAAGUCUUUGCUAUUGUGAAUAGUGUCGCAAUAAACAUAC